Molecule: long non-coding RNA, 116 nt
Organism: Amblyraja radiata (thorny skate)
Lineage: Eukaryota; Metazoa; Chordata; Chondrichthyes; Rajiformes; Rajidae
Exons: 3
Source: RefSeq, a predicted model, not a curated record
UGAAGCCCUUGCCACACUGGGUGCAGGUGAAGGGGCGCUCGCCGGUGUGGGUUCGCUGGUGGGACACCAGGUUGCUGGAAUAUGGGAAGCCCUUGCCACCGUCACUGCAGAGGUAC